CUGAAAGGGAAACUUGGCUAAAUUUCCCACUCUGCUGAAGAAGUAGUGCAUUAUGCUAUUUGAAACUGUGGAAGAAAGCAACAAUAAAGCACAUG
Molecule: long non-coding RNA, 95 nt
Organism: Alosa sapidissima (American shad)
Lineage: Eukaryota; Metazoa; Chordata; Actinopteri; Clupeiformes; Clupeidae
Exons: 3
Source: RefSeq, a predicted model, not a curated record